Molecule: unclassified non-coding RNA, 352 nt
Filed under: soil metagenome
Description: partial contains 5.8S ribosomal RNA, internal transcribed spacer 2, and large subunit ribosomal RNA
Rfam family: 5.8S ribosomal RNA (bases 1-120)
Source: RNAcentral
GAUGAAGAACGUAGCGAAAUGCGAUAAGUAAUGUGAAUUGCGGAAUUCAGUGAAUCAUCGAAUCUUUGAACGCACAUUGCGCCCGCCAGUAUUCUGGCGGGCAUGCCUGUUCGAGCGUCAUUACAACCCUCAGGCCCCCGGGCCUGGCGUUGGGGAUCGGCGGAAGCCCCCUGUGGGCACACGCCGUCCCUCAAAUACAGUGGCGGUCCCGCCGCAGCUUCCAUUGCGUAGUAGCUAACAGCUCGCAACUGGAGAGCGGCGCGGCCAUGCCGUAAAACACCCAACUUCUGAAUGUUGACCUCGAAUCAGGUAGGAAUACCCGCUGAACUUAAGCAUAUCAAUAAGCGGAGGA